RNAcentral lists this unclassified non-coding RNA (235 nucleotides) under uncultured fungus. Its description in RNAcentral is "sequence contains ITS1". The record is from RNAcentral. Lineage: Eukaryota; Fungi.
UUAAAAAUUAGGUAUUCAAAUAUUCAGGGUAAAAAAAGGGGAGGGGUAAGAUGGGAGGGUAAAAUGGGAGAAGAGACUUAUUAUAUUUCCUUCAAUCUUAGUUACCUAAAUCACUAAGAUAUCUAAAAACAAAACCCUCUUUGACCUCCCACCCUCUUUGAUCUCCCACCUCCAGUUAACAGUGUAUUGGUUUCCCAAAAUCAUAAUGAUCCAGCCGAAGGUUCACCUACGGCUA